AUCCAUUUAAUGGGACUUUACAAAAAUGAGUUAAUUUUUUUUAAGUCUGUUUGUGGCCCAGCUCAUUUUGGCUGCAGGCCAAAUUAUUCUGACUCUGCAUGUAUGCAGUCAGAUCCCGUAAGUGCUGUUUUCAAAUCAGUCUUGCUUCAUGGCACCCAGUGAAGCCUCAAAAUUAGGUGCAUGUUCAGCAUUGAGCAUUCAGUUACCAAGUUCCUUGCCCAAGGGGUAUCCUGACUAUAAGGACACAGUGCUACUGCCAACUAAGUUUCCACAUGAGGUUGUGUGUCAGAAAAGGAGAAAUUGUUGGAUUCUUAAGUUCUUACGCACUGAGGCAUCUAACUGUCAAAUUACAAGAUGGGAAGGAGAGAGCCCUAAGACCUUGCUACUCAGCAUGUGAUGCAGAGACUGGCAGCAGUCGCCUUACCUGGGAGCUUGAUGUUCCGAUGGUUGGUACCAACAUUUGUAUGAGAAGCACUGUUCUAAGGAAGAUCUCUGCAGAAGGUACAAGGACUCUAAUGUUAGGUCAUCAGAGCAGAUCUAGCUGUCUAAUCACUUGGAGGCAGCAAAGCUUGGUGGUCUCCUAGUUUUGUGACCUGGAGUGAAUUUAGAAUCUCUGUGCCUCAGUUUUCCUAUCUAGGAACUAUGGAUUAUGGUACCAUCUACCUCAUGAGAUUGUUUUGAGGAUAAAGAGUUAAUACAUGUAAUGUAUAAGCAGUGCUUGGCACAUGUGUUGCCAUUAUAGUUAGGAUUUUUACUAUCAGCUUCUGUAGCUACUAGGGCACUGCUUAAACAAAUUAAUGAACCCAAGUUUUACUUAAAAGACAAUGGAAUCUAAAGCCAGAAAGGAAUGAAAGCCACAUGAUUGUGGGCCUCCUGUCCUGCCAAGAGUCAGGGCUCAGAGUCUCACGACCUGCCUUCAACAGUAGCGGUCCAGUGGUUAUUGUUCACCCUGGAUAGCAUACACAGGCCCGGGGGUGGGCUGCUGGUGUUUACGAAGCUCUUCAAAUGUUUCUAAUGUAGCAGCGGGAUUUAGAAUCAUUGUACUAGGGCUUCUAACUUGCUAGGAAAAGAGCAGAACUUAGUCUGUUUGGAACCAAACUUGACAGAGACACUAUGGGGCGACUCUGAAUUGCACACAAUGUCUGCUACUGCAUCUAAACCCAUCUGGUAGUGGCAGCGGGGAGAUGUUACGACAGUUGUCAUCAAGAUCACCCUGGACACUUGGACAAAUGGGGUAAAGAGUUGUGGCAGUAGCUGUAGUUGUUUUCCCAUUAGCCUCAUUCUGAGGAGUUUCAGAGAAAAAUGGGGUUACUCUCUGGGCAUUCUCAACCACCAGGGUAAAAAUCUUGGGAGACUCAGCUACAUGUUCAAGCCCUUCUGCUAGUUUCUGGCUUGUCAUUUCACUUCCUGGCUUGUCACUCUACUUCCUAAUCACAUAGCUUUUAAAGAUGACCCUCCCUUCUCCCCCCCAACAAAAGGUCAGGCAUUUCCCUUUGCAACCUGGCUGCAUAUGGAAUCAUUUUUGGCAUUUAAAAAUACAAAAAUUAGCCAGGCGUGGUGGCAUGCACCUGUAAUCCCAGCUACUUGGGAGGCU
This 1594-nucleotide long non-coding RNA is filed under the name Homo sapiens (human). Its description in RNAcentral is "non-protein coding lnc-TERF2IP-5:1". Lineage: Eukaryota; Metazoa; Chordata; Mammalia; Primates; Hominidae. The record is from RNAcentral.